GCAAGUCGAGCGAGAAAGUUUCUUCGGAAGCGAGUAAAGCGGCGGACGGGUGAGUAACGCGUAGGAAUCUACCAUCCAGUGGGGGAUAGCUCGGGGAAACCCGAAUUAAUACCGCAUAUACCCUAAGGGGGAAAGAGGGCCUAUCCUUGGAAGCUCUUGCCGUUUGAUGAGCCUGCGUGAGAUUAGUUUGUUGGUGAGGUAAUGGCUCACCAAGACUACGAUCUCUAGCUGGUCUGAGAGGACGAUCAGCCACACUGGGACUGAGACACGGCCCAGACUCCUACGGGAGGCAGCAGUGGGGAAUAUUGGACAAUGGGGGCAACCCUGAUCCAGGCAUGCCGCGUGUGUGAAGAAGGCCUUCGGGUUGUAAAGCACUUUAGGUAAGGAAGAAAAGUUAUUGGUUAAUACCCAAUGACCAUGACAUUACUUACAGAAUAAGGACCGGCUAACUCCGUGCCAGCAGCCGCGGUAAUACGGAGGGUCCAAGCGUUAAUCGGAAUUACUGGGCGUAAAGCGCGCGUAGGCGGUUUGACAAGUUGGGUGUGAAAUCCCCGGGCUUAACCUGGGAACUGCAUUCAAAACUUUUAAACUGGAGUACGGGAGAGGAGAGUAGAAUUCAUGGUGUAGCGGUGAAAUGCGUAGAUAUCAUGAGGAAUACCAAUGGCGAAGGCAACUCUCUGGACCGUAACUGACGCUGAGGUGCGAAAGCGUGGGUAGCAAACAGGAUUAGAUACCCUGGUAGUCCACGCCGUAAACGAUGACAACUAGCCGUUGGACUUUCGAGUUCAGUGGCGCAGCUAACGCAUUAAGUUGUCCGCCUGGGGAGUACGGCCGCAAGGCUAAAACUCAAAUGAAUUGGCGGGGGGCC
This 868-nucleotide ribosomal RNA is filed under the name uncultured Gammaproteobacteria bacterium. RNAcentral describes it as "bacterial SSU rRNA". It matches the Rfam family "Bacterial small subunit ribosomal RNA", at positions 57 to 922 of the family's 1533-position model. Lineage: Bacteria; Pseudomonadati; Pseudomonadota; Gammaproteobacteria. The record is from RNAcentral.